This 158-nucleotide ribosomal RNA is filed under the name uncultured bacterium. Its description in RNAcentral is "partial 16S ribosomal RNA". It matches the Rfam family "Bacterial small subunit ribosomal RNA", at positions 355 to 509 of the family's 1533-position model. The record is from RNAcentral.
UGAGGAAUAUUGGUCAAUGGGCGGAGAGCCUGAACCAGCCAAGUAGCGUGAAGGAUGACUGCCCUAUGGGUUGUAAACUUCUUUUAUAAAGGAAUAAAGUCGGGUAUGGAUACCCGUUUGCAUGUACUUUAUGAAUAAGGAUCGGCUAACUCCGUGCC